Molecule: long non-coding RNA, 3830 nt
Organism: Glossina fuscipes
Lineage: Eukaryota; Metazoa; Arthropoda; Insecta; Diptera; Glossinidae
Exons: 2
Source: RefSeq, a predicted model, not a curated record
AAAAAAAAAAACCAAAAAAGUAAAAAAAUUAAUAGAAAUAAUCAUCAUUAUCAUCAUUGUUAAAACUUAUAAAUACUUAAGUGGUUAGUUAAAAUACACUUUAAAUAGAAUGCACUGUAAAUACUAAGCUGCUGCAAAUGUUAUUAGACUUAAUUGAGUCGCUGUUGGAGCUUUCACAGCUUGUGAGAAGUGUGUAGACUCUAAUGUUUUAAUGUUUUAAUUUUCCAGUUUCAAGUCUGUCCGGCUUUUUUUUUUUGUUUUUUUGUUUUUUUUUUUGUUAAAUAGAUAAACACACUCAUCCUCGUAGAUAUGAUAGAUCGAUUAAAACAUUUAUAGAACAAUUAUUUAUUAAUUUGUUAAACAAGUCUUGGAAGUGCACAUAUGUAGCUUCUUGCUGACAUUACAAAUAAUUCCACUCAGCCGAACGAAGGUUGGCUGCUGAAAAAAAAAAAUCGUGUACAGUUUUAUUUUUCUUAAAAAUGCCUUAAAAAAUCCGAAACAUGGGUAUUUUUCUGUCUAUACAUGCAUACAUCUAUAUAUAUUUAAGCAAUGCUGCUUCCUAUUUUGAAAGAAACUAUCAAAGUAGGCGCUGAUCUACAUGAAUGGCAUUAGCGAUAUAUAUAAAAUUCCCCCAUUACUAUACCACCAACUGGUCGUCGUAAAUCUUGCAGCAGCAUAUUUUUCUUUUGCUAAAAUAAAUUUUUUUUUUUUUUUUUUUUUUGUUUACAGAAAGACUUUCGUUUAAGUGUAUUUAGAUAUUUUAUAACAUAACACACAAACAUAUGUAGGACUUACAAAUUUUUCCAAUUUUGUUCUUUUCUACAUACACAUACUGAACUCACGCGACUUAACCGAACUGUACUAAAACCAAACAAAAAUAACGUAAUAGAAAAAAUAAUAAUAAAAAAAUAUAGAAAAACAAAAAUUAUCUAAAAAUAAUGUUAAAAAUCGAACAAUUAGAGCAUUACAAAAUAUAACCGUUUAAAAUCUUUUCUUUAGUGAUACUUGAGUGAAUAAAAAAAAACUUUUUUCAAUAAACUACUUACCUGCAUCACCACACUCUAAACACUCUUUGCAAUUUCAUGAAUUUUUCACAUUUUUUCUUUUAUUAUUUACAAAAAAAAAAAAACAAUUUUUUUUUACAUGUAUCUAUGCAAGAGAUCGCAAAUUUAAUUUAUAUGAAUAUAAUCUGUACAAUCUAUGCUGAAUUAGCAUAUCAUGUGUUUUCUCGGGAAUUUUCGCUUUAUGUCUUUAACAUCAUUUAAAUAAAUAUCCGUUUUUAAGAAAAAGGUGUGUAAUUAAAUUUUUCAUCUCGUCCAUCUCUAUUUAAUAUUUCCAUUGUUCUCUUAUUAUGAAUUCAGUCCGUAUCUCAUAAAAAUUGUCGAUACAUUUUUAGCCUUCUUGUUGUGGCAUCAAGCUAAUAUUUUUAUUUAGAUUUUAUAUCUUUUACCGAAUAAUGCUGCUGAAAACGUUUGUAACAUCCGGGAAGGAGUUUCACAAACUCUAUACUAAUACUGGAAUCAAUUUAGACUUGUCAGCCUGUCUGUCCGUAGAAGUUGCUGAAUGCAGUUUGGUAUUAAAAAUGCAUCAAGUUCUGAAUCGAUGAAGGCGUGUCGCCACCUAUCUCCUCUUGUAUGGCUAUCAUUCCCCUGAUUGCAAAAUUAGAAGUUUCUGAACGCACGUUUACUAUUGAAAAUGGCCAAAAUCAAUUAGAGGGCACGCCUACAACCUGUUAUAAGCUAUUAUUUAACUUGCUUUCUUUUGCCUAUUACUCAUGAAAUAGAAUAAUUGUAAGCGUGUACAAAAAUGGGGAAAAAAAAUAAGUGAACACGCAGGCAACAUUAUAGAGUAGCGAGAUUGAUUUCAUUGUCUUCGAGUUUUUUUUUUUUUUUUUUUUUUUGGUUUAAGUUAAAGUUAAACGUUUAAGUGGAAAAUUAAGCCACCGAUCGAAUAUCAUUUUCUUGCUUUGUGCUAUUCUUCAAAGUAAAAAUACAAAAACUUGAAUUGGUUACAGACGUCCCUUAUAUAACAUGGUACUUGUAAAAUACGGUUUCGAUAUUACAUGGUACAAAAUUUGCGGUUACUGUAAGGCAGUUUUCAUAUAACACGGUUUCAAAAACUUAAAUACUUAUUCCUCAUCACCUAGAAAAAUAUUUUGGGCGUACAAUUAAGUUUUACGAUUUCCUUAAAAAAUUUUCCAAAAUGCGAAAAUUUUGCGAAAUUUUGCGGAUUAAUAGGGAAGAUAUUUCGAUGCUUUUGCUUUCUCCCCAAAAAGUUGUAUCGUUUACCCUAUUGAUUAUAUUGAUGCAAGACGAACGAAAGGAGAGAACAUUAAAAUUGUUUUCUUGCUUUUCAUUUUUAUUUUAUUAUUUUCUAAACACAUCUUUUUUUUUUUUUUUUUUUUUUUUCUAAGAGUGUGUGUGUAUAGUUGGUAAGUUCAUUUAUCAUUAAUUUGUAUGAUUGAUUUAUGAAAAUUUAUGUGGUAACAUCAGGAUAUGUGUGCGAAAUGAUUUGUUUGCUUUUCUAUAAAAAUAAAAUUAUAUUUGAAAGGAUAGCUUUAAGUAAUUAACAAACAACAGCAACAACAGCAAUAGAAAAUAGUGGUAUAACGUCGAAAGCGAAUAAUAACUUAUGCUGCACUUGAAGAAGAUGUGCAUUCUUCUACGUCUAGUCCUUCCAUAUCACCAGAGAUGGACAAAACAACCACCACCAUCAAUUUCAAUCAAUUAAACGAAGGCAGUAUAUUUGUGAGUGUGUCUGUGUGUGAUUGUGAACUGCUUGAUGUUUUACUUUAAUAAUAAAUAUAGUUUUUGUCAAAUUUCUUGAAGAGUGAAUGAUAUGAUGAGCGAGCCCCCCUAAGGAAACUUACAUUUAAAUAAAUCAUUUAUCACAAAUAAUAUAAAGAAAAGCAAGUAUGACGUGUGUUGUUGUCAAAUUUAAAUGCAAAUGAGCAAAUGAAUCUAAAUGUAUUGAGAGUGCUGCUGAAUGGCGCGCGGAUGUUGUCUAUCCAUUCCAAGUGUGUUUCGAUUAAUCAAUGAAAUGAAAAACAAAUUGUGUGACUGCGUUUUAAUGCAACAAAGGAAAAAAAAAAAUUAAAAAAAACCAAAAAAACUAUGUGCCUGCAUGAAUCUAUUAUGCAUACAGAUAGACAGGACCGACAGAAUGAAUUACAAGUUCGACAUGCUGGUAGUAAGUAAUAAAAGGUUUAACUUUUUAUUUAAGAAUAAACACAAUAACGGACCAAAUGACUUAACAGAAAAUCAAAAACAAAAAAAAAAAAAAAGACAAAAAAAAAAAACGAAAAGAUAUUUUGGAAAAUAUAAAACAAAGAUAUCACUGAGAAGAUCGUUAAGUAAUACAUAAAAAACAUACUGCAACGAAUAAACUGAUAUACUUUAACGCAAUUAAUAAUUAAGUAUUUUUUAUCGCUAUGAUACUAACAGCUAAACAACAACAACAACAACAACCUGGACUAGUUAAGACAGUUUUAUCUAAUUUUUUUUAUUUUUUUAUUAUUUUUUUUUAUUGUAUAUGAACAUGUAGUUUUUGCAAGAAGAAGACGUCUGUUAUGUAACUGAUGAGUGAUGAUGAUUGCUGUGUAUGCAUUCGCAUGAAAUAUUAUUAACGAAUACAAUUAAAAUAAACAAUCUGCUCCGUUGUAUGAGUGUUUUAGUAUUAAAAUCAUCAACAUUUUCGAGUUUAAAUGAGCAAAACUAUAUAAGAAAAUUUAAAAUAGGUUUGUGUGAAAUCGCGUGCGUUAUGGUAUGUUGUGGACAAACUUUUAAUGAAUAAAUAUAUAAAAUUUAAGCGAUUGUAUGAUUGUGUGACUG